GUACUUCUGAGGAGUCCCACAAUAGAACGAAACGGCCGUUCAGUGC
RNAcentral lists this non-coding RNA (46 nucleotides) under Schistosoma mansoni. Lineage: Eukaryota; Metazoa; Platyhelminthes; Trematoda; Strigeidida; Schistosomatidae. The record is from RNAcentral.